AGAACAAUUCUUUGCUGCUUAGUCAAUUGACAUCACUUGAUCCACGAGGAUCUACGCGACGACCUCCUCCGGCUGUUAUUGAGCAGCUUCGAACUUUGAACGCAACACUUCGACUGGGUCACCUACUUUGUCGAAGUCGCCAACCGAACUUUUUAUUGUAAAUUCUGCAUAGGCAAGGAGCUGCGCAAACGAAGCCAUGGCUGGCUGAUUUGAUCGAGUCCAAUGAAGGUGCUUGGAACGUUCUGCCUGUUCAAUGUCUUUCUUGGCAAACGCAAGGAACGUCGUCACAAACACCAACAGUUGGUCCAGCAUCUAAGACUUUUGUUGACUGAUCCCAAUCAACUACCCGAAGCAUGCCGUGAAGUCCUAGACUAUUUGAUGAGACGAUUGAGUGCUCAGCAAGCUCUCGCCCGUCACCAAGCCCUCACGGCAUUGAGUGUGGUCUUGUCAGUAAAAGACGAUGAUAUUACCAUGAGUGAUGGUGCAUGCUCCGAAGGAACAGGAGACGAUUCCCAGUUCUCUUGGCUUGUUCAUCAGUUACCUACCAUCCCACAUUUCGAAGCCGUACGCCCUGCCGUGAUUGCUGCUCUACGGGCCGCCUUUCUAAUUGAAACACAACCAGUAGCCGUAGCGGCGUACUUGAGGUUAUUAUCCACCUGCGCUUUGUAAGAGCCAAUUCAAGACCAAGCUGAUCUUAGCUUGGAUCUUGCCCAGGUAAUUGUAGAGCGUAGCAGUUUCAUUGCUGCUCUCUUACCUUCACCAUCAAACAAAACGCUGGAAUGUUUGUUGCAACUCAUUUGGCAUUACCUUCUCAAAACACGAGAGCCUAACAAAGGAUCCUACAAUUGGUAGGAGAAUCAACACCAAGUUUUGAUACAGUGGCAAUCUGGCGAAGCUGCUUCCCUUCAAAUUAUGGUUGUUCACGUCAUAGUGAGUCUGCUGACUUACGGAGCCCCUCAGCUUGAGCAGCAGUCAACCUGUUUCGGUCGACUACUAGAAAUUUGGUUUCCUGCCAGCGGUGUACAACCCUAGGCCUAUUUAGUCGAGACGACAGAGGAAGCCCAUCUUUAUCCCGACUGGAUCAAACUUCGCAUGAUUCGAUCCUCAGUUGAUCCUAUAGUUGAUACUGCCUUAGCCCUUAAAGGAUUUGGAGCCGGCUCAGAUGAUCCUCUUUAUUCAAUCCUUCGGCUUUCCUGUAUAUUGUCUAUGUCUAAGCUUCUGCAAACUCUGGAUCGAAUGGUGCAGGAUGAUCAUCUGAAUCCUUUUGCCUUCGUCGAGGUUGACAUUGACAAAGUUUACAUACAGCAGUUGCUCCAGAUUCAAUUGGUGAGAGGAGCUCGAGGUGGUUUGCUUUUUGCCGAUAUCAUGCAGUUCGUACUUGGUAGAUACCGAAAUUGGUUCGACCGCUGACAGCAAGGCGUUCAAUCUGACCCUGCGUCCUCACCUGGACAUUUCAUCUCAUCCUUCUAAGAUCAGUUCAUCAUUCACAGGCUCAAUUGUAACUGUAGAUCAUGCCUCUGCUGUCCUGAGGCAACUUUUUCACAUAAAAAUUGUCAUUUGGAUCAGUCAGCUGGAGAAGAACAAGGCCUACCGGAAUUUGAGCAAUGCUUUGACUCGAGAAAUUCGUGCCAACACUCAGCCGUCCACUGAAGCUUGUGCCAUUGCUUUUGAUAAUCUCUUGGCGUCUGCCAGUGUGUCAAGGAAUGAGUUUGAACUUUUGCUAGCGGCUUUAGAGCGCCAACCUGCAUUCUCGUGUGGUUUGCUCCCACUUUUGACGUCAGCAGGAUCUUCACCAGCGGCUUCUCUUGGUACUGGAAAUAUUGUGGUGAUAGUGAUGAACAUUUGUCAGAAGAUAGCUCCGGUCACUCCUGAUGGACAUAGUUCACUGAAAAGUAUCGCUCUUCAAUUUGUCAAGUCCCACGGACUCUUGAGAUCUGAAUCAACUCUGGCUGAUAUCAACACAUUGAACCUGUCCUCCAAGCGGUUGGAGCGUCACUUGUAGCAACUGGCUGCUCGUGCACUGGAAACAAACGAUACUCGUUCACUUGUAAAAAGUAUUGUGAGCAGUUUGAGCCAAAGUGGGUUUAAGGCGAGCUUGGUUGGCCUUUUGGUAGACUGGCUGGAUCCCGAAAUUAUUACAGCCCAGCCUGAUUUAGAGAUGCGGUUGUUGUUAGGUAAAACGCCUAACCCACCAUCUUGUCGUCCGUAUGCCCUCGCAAUGUUGGUGCAUCAGGCCAGUUGGGCUACGCUGCGCAAAUGUAUUCAA
RNAcentral lists this long non-coding RNA (2266 nucleotides) under Daphnia pulicaria. RNAcentral describes it as "uncharacterized LOC124328309". Lineage: Eukaryota; Metazoa; Arthropoda; Branchiopoda; Diplostraca; Daphniidae. The record is from RNAcentral.